GAUGAACGCUGGCGGCGUGCCUAAUACAUGCAAGUCGAGCGAACAGACGAGGAGCUUGCUCCUCUGACGUUAGCGGCGGACGGGUGAGUAACACGUGGAUAACCUACCUAUAAGACUGGGAUAACUUCGGGAAACCGGAGCUAAUACCGGAUAAUAUAUUGAACCGCAUGGUUCAAUAGUGAAAGACGGUUUUGCUGUCACUUAUAGAUGGAUCCGCGCCGCAUUAGCUAGUUGGUAAGGUAACGGCUUACCAAGGUAACGAUGCGUAGCCGACCUGAGAGGGUGAUCGGCCACACUGGAACUGAGACACGGUCCAGACUCCUACGGGAGGCAGCAGUAGGGAAUCUUCCGCAAUGGGCGAAAGCCUGACGGAGCAACGCCGCGUGAGUGAUGAAGGUCUUCGGAUCGUAAAACUCUGUUAUUAGGGAAGAACAAAUGUGUAAGUAACUAAGCACGUCUUGACGGUACCUAAUCAGAAAGCCACGGCUAACUACGUG
This 497-nucleotide ribosomal RNA is filed under the name uncultured bacterium. RNAcentral's name for it is "partial 16S ribosomal RNA". It matches the Rfam family "Bacterial small subunit ribosomal RNA", at positions 28 to 507 of the family's 1533-position model. The record is from RNAcentral.